AGGUUUCCGUAGGUGAACCUGCGGAAGGAUCWUUG
RNAcentral lists this ribosomal RNA (35 nucleotides) under Carpha glomerata. RNAcentral describes it as "partial 18S ribosomal RNA". Lineage: Eukaryota; Viridiplantae; Streptophyta; Magnoliopsida; Poales; Cyperaceae. The record is from RNAcentral.